This 73-nucleotide transfer RNA is filed under the name Aedes aegypti (yellow fever mosquito). It matches the Rfam family "tRNA". From Rfam's summary of the family: Transfer RNA (tRNA) molecules are approximately 80 nucleotides in length. The record is from Rfam by way of RNAcentral. Lineage: Eukaryota; Metazoa; Arthropoda; Insecta; Diptera; Culicidae.
CCUCUCGUGGCGUAACGAUAACGCGCCCUAUCUAUCGAAUUGGUAGUCGUGAGUUCGAUUCUCACCGGAAAGA